UUUGCACACACCUGAAUUAGCCUUUCAAUUAGCUCAUAUCCCGUCAUGCCGGGUCAUCGGGUGACUUUGGCUGGAGACGAGGUUGGCCUCAUUAGGUUGCACGUCCAGGUCCCCAAAACAUCCGGAAAGUCUGCAGAGCUCACCUCAAAACAAACAAAAGUGGGCUAAAAGACAGUCUUUGUGUCCGCCUGCCGUCCUGCUCCCAAGUGUCACCUGUGUGUGUGAGUCCAAGAGGAAAAAAAGCUCCCACACAGAGAUAAAGAGUGGUUUGGACGGACACUAUUGGGAAGGAUUGUGCAGUUAAAAAAACAGCAAGCGGAUCCGUCGAGCUCCAGCUCGAGGCAUCGGUGUGUGUUUGAUCGACCGAGCGGAACCCACCGACAUGGCUUGCAGAUGUGCUAAUAGCAGAGCGACGGGGAAAGCCAUCAGACUGACGGCAAAGAACAAAAGUAAUUAAAGUGGAAAGGAGCCCGGAGCCAAAGCGCAAUGGCGGCUCCACCUUCCAAACUUCCAGAAGAUGGGGCGUGAAGAGGAUAUCAGAUAACAAGGCGGCGUCGCAUGCUCCGGGAACGAAGCGACGGGCCGUGGUAGAGCGCGACGAGGGCGGAGGGCCGAGUUCUCACUUCCAUUGUCUGGCCCUUCACAAAGCUCACGGCCAGCAUGCAAGCAAUCAAGAAACGUCUUCUCGUCACCAUCUCUUCACCGUUAGAGUUCCCGCACUCUUCGGAA
Long non-coding RNA from Syngnathus acus (greater pipefish), 729 nucleotides. RefSeq lists it as uncharacterized. The record is from RefSeq and is a predicted model, not a curated record. Lineage: Eukaryota; Metazoa; Chordata; Actinopteri; Syngnathiformes; Syngnathidae. The transcript is spliced from 7 exons.